UGGCCGAAAGAGAGAUGUGAUUUUGGCUUGAUCCGUCGUUUUAUACUGAACUCUCUCUAAAGAGGUCUCCCUUCCUACCUUUCGGAAAGGUGUAGGGCAAGAGUAGGAUCCGCCCCCUUUUGUUUUCAGGCAAAGAAGUAAAGGCAGCAGCCUCCUCUUCCUUCUCCAUUUCAGGUCGAGUCGCACAAGCGUCGAGUUGUGUCCCGCUCAAAGGUCCUCCUUUCUUUUCCCAAAAGUGCCUCGUUUCCAUUUUAUUUUCAACUUCUUCUAGCUGAAACAUUCUUGGUAAAUCUUUUUUUAUUUCAUCGAGUGUAUCGGAAGACCCCAUUUUUAGAGAAGAGGAUUAUUAAUUCAAUCGAGUCGUGCUGACCGCGUUUCGGUGAACAAUUUUUGAAUUUUUAUUUUUUCUAUUGUCAGUUGCUCCUGCCAUCCGUAAUCGUCACCACACUUGUGUUAAACAACUAAGCGGAUGCGAUCCACAGCCGCUUGUUUUUCAUCUCAACUAUUGUCAAGGUGAAUUGGACAAGACACAAUCGAACCGAGUUGUCAGAUCACGUUGUUUUUCUUGGAAUGAGUUGGGCGGCUACUUUGGGAAGUUGUGGCGCUGUCUAUUGGUUUAAAACCAUCUACAACAAGCCAAAUAAGAAAAGGAAAACCGGUGAAUUCGACCUCGGACGUUCAACCUUCGUUUAUGGAAAAAAGAACAAGUGGCCCAAAACUCUUUUGGUAUUUUGGGUGACUUUUUUCUUUCUUCUACAUAGUUCUAUUUGAGUCAUUGCCGAAUACCCGAUUUAUAUGUAUGCGAGUUGGUUGCCCACGCACGCGGCCACGUCAUGGCACUUUCUACACGAAGAGAAAAAAGGGCGGCCCCUGACCGACCCGUGAGGGCAUCGGGAAGAACCACUGAACGUGUGCAGAGUUUUAUUAUAUAAAACGUCGUGACUGGCGUGUUUAUACAUGUGUGUGUGUGCAAUCUACUCAGGGAAUUUGUCUUUUUGUUUUAUCUGACGAAAUUUGUGUGUGAGAUUGUGUCUCAACCGGAUAUAUGGAGAAUUUUUGUUUUCUUCCUCUGUCAUUGGAAAUUAUUGGUCAAUUUGCUUAGGAUUUCCAUUUAUUUUUUUAAGGAAAUUUUGACACGUCACGACUUUCCCUCCUAGACUUGUCUUAAUGUAGGGAAAAGAUAAAUGUCAUUCGACACUGUUGGUUGAGUGUGUCUCCCCCCUCCUAAAAAAGAGAAAAAUUUGGUUUUUUGACUUUUUUGAAUGGGAGACGCGCUACCGGACAUUUGAUUGGACUCUAGAGAUAACAAUAAAAAUUGAAAAGAAACUCGGAGGAGAAGUAAAAUCCUAACAACUAGGGACUAACCCCCCAACCCUAGAAAAAGUGAUUAUAUUUCUUCUUCUUCUCCUCCCUUUUUACAUUCCUAGAAGAACCUUCAGGUCACAUUUUGAAUGGUCCCUGUUGUUAUUUCUACCUGACUUCACCUGUGGGAUCAGCGUCCUUCAGACCAACAGACUCUCUUGUCUGACGGUGUCUACGACAACUCGGCCGCUACAGCCCCCUCGACUCCUGGAAAGGGGGAGGAUUUGUGUUACCUUUGUGGCUUUUCUAUUCCCUUUUUUUUAUUAUUUCGGCGAGAAAUGCCAGCAAAGUGAAAGUCUCGGUAUUUUUCUUAUUCCCUCUUUUAAUUCAUUCAAACUUAAUGUUGCCGAACAUCUUUUUUUGCCUUUAACAGGCUUUUUCUUUAUCAGAUUAGAAUGGAAUAAAAACGAGUCAUUUGAAGAAGAAGAAACUCUUCUUCUGAUUACAAACAGCUUAAAGUUUUGCUUAUUAUAGCCACUUAACACGAUGAUGUCACUGAUGUAUUCCCGAAAUUUGAAACUGGCCGUCUGCCGACUUUCUAGACGUGCACAUCUUGUGUACACAUUUUAUUUUGAAAGCGGCAAACAACCCGGAGGAAAAGAGUAUUUGUGCUUGUCAUUGGGAUUAGUUUAACCUGGAUAAGUACGAACACGAGAGAGUAGAAAACAACGUGAGGGAUCAAAUGUAUUUUGUCUUUUUCAAUAUUUAUUCACAUACACGUACAUGAAAGAAAUGCAUCCAUCAUCUUUUUUUCUCAUUUUUUCGGGCCUGUUCGACAGUCGCAACGUAAAAGUUUUAUUGGUUUGAGAGAAGACGCGGAAGGGAUUUUCCGAAAAAGUAAAAAGAGUAGAGAAA
This is a long non-coding RNA of Daphnia pulicaria, 2217 nucleotides long. RefSeq lists it as uncharacterized. The record is from RefSeq and is a predicted model, not a curated record. The transcript is spliced from 2 exons. Lineage: Eukaryota; Metazoa; Arthropoda; Branchiopoda; Diplostraca; Daphniidae.